This 1939-nucleotide ribosomal RNA is filed under the name human gut metagenome. RNAcentral's name for it is "bacterial LSU rRNA". It matches the Rfam family "Bacterial large subunit ribosomal RNA", at positions 3 to 1977 of the family's 2925-position model. The record is from RNAcentral.
UUAAGCAAAGAAGAGCGCAGGGUGGAUGCCUUGGCACUAAGAGCCGAAGAAAGACGUGAUAAGCUGCGAAAAGCUGCGGGGAGAUGCAAAUAAUCCUUGAUCCGCAGAUGUCUGAAUGGGGAAACCCGGUACGAAGAACUCGUAUCAUCCAUACGCCAAUCCAUAACGUAUGGAGGGGAACCCGGUGAACUGAAACAUCUAAGUAGCCGGAGGAAGAGAAAGAAACAUCGAUUUUGUUAGUAGCGGCGAGCGAAAGCGAAAGAGGCCAAACCGGAGUGCGUGCACUCCGGGGUUCGGACCGCAUUUAAGAUUCAGUGAUUCUAGCAGAAAGGUUUGGGAAAGCCUGCCGGAGAGGGUGAAAGCCCCGUAAGCGAAAGGAGAACUGACUGAGCGGGAUCCAGAGUACAUCGAGACACGAGAAACCUUGAUGGAAUGAGCGGGGACCACCCCGUAAGCCUAAAUACUACUUAGUGACCGAUAGCGCAUAGUACUGUGAAGGAAAGGUGAAAAGGACCCCGGGAGGGGAGUGAAAGAGAACCUGAAACCCUGUGUUUACAAGCUGUGGAAGUUCUUUAAAUGAACAACCGCGUACUUUUUGUAGAACGGUCCGGCGAGUUGCGGAUACUGGCAAGGUUAAGCACUUAAGGUGCGGAGCCGAAGGGAUACCAAGUCUUAACAGGGCGUUAAGUCAGUAUACGCAGACCCGAAACCGGGUGAUCUAUCCAUGUCCAGGUUGAAGUUGCCGUAAAAGGCAAUGGAGGACCGAACGCACAUCCGUUGAAAAGGGUGGCGAUGAGGUGUGGAUAGGGGAGAAAUUCCAAUCGAACCCGGAGAUAGCUGGUUCUCCUCGAAAUAGCUUUAGGGCUAGCCUCGAUUUAGUCUUAUGGAGGUAGAGCACUGAAUUUCCGCGGGGGCGUCAAAGCUUACCAAAGAAUAUCAAACUCCGAAUGCCAUGUAGAUGAUGAUCGGGAGUCAGACUGCACGAGAUAAGUUGGGCAGUCAAAAGGGAAAGAGCCCAGACCACCGGCUAAGGUCCCAAAGUGCGUGUUAAGUGGAAAAGGAUGUGGGAUUUCGAAGACAACUAGGAUGUUGGCUCAGAAGCAGCCAUACAUUCAAAGAGUGCGUAAUAGCUCACUAGUCGAGAGGUCCUGCGCCGAAAAUGUCCGGGGCUGAAACACGACACCGAAGCCGUGGACUCGCAAUGCGAGUGGUAGAGGAGCAUUCUUAAAACCGACGAAGCUGUACCGGAAGGAGCAGUGGAGGGAUAAGAAGAGAGAAUGCCGGAAUGAGUAGCGAGAGAAAGGUGGGAAUCCUUUCGGCCGAAUAUCUAAGGUUUCCAGAGUAAAGCUGAUCUGCUCUGGGUAAGUCGGGGCCUAAGCACAGGUCGCAAGACGUAAGCGAUGGAUAACAGGUUUAGAUUCCUGUACCACGCAUUAUCAGAACUGUAGGGACGCAUGUGGAAAGCACGAGCCGGGAAUGGAAAGACCGGUACAAGCGGGGUAGGUGUACAAUAGGCAAAUCCGUUGUAUGAUCCGAAGACGUGAUGUGGAGCGAAAUAAAGUAGCAAAGCGUGUGAGCCAUGUGCCGAGAAAAGCUGCUAUUGUGUAAUGCGUGCCCGUACCGUAAACCGACACAGGUGGAUGAGGAGAGAAUCCUAAGGCCGACGGAAGAAGCAUUGUUAAGGAAUUCGGCAAAAUGACCCCGUAACUUCGGGAGAAGGGGUGCCUGCGAGAGCAGGCCGCAGAGAAUAGGCUCAAGCAACUGUUUAGCAAAAACACAGGUCUAUGCGAAACCGAAAGGUGAGGUAUAUGGGCUGACGCCUGCCCGGUGCUGGAAGGUUAAGAGGAGAGGUUAGCGUCGGCGAAGCUUUGAAUUUAAGCCCCAGUAAACGGCGGCCGUAACUAUAACGGUCCUAAGGUAGCGAAAUUCCUUGUCGGGU